Molecule: transfer RNA, 74 nt
Filed under: Cnemaspis paripari
Lineage: Eukaryota; Metazoa; Chordata; Lepidosauria; Squamata; Gekkonidae
Description: tRNA-Asn
Source: RNAcentral
UAGGUUGAAGCCCGCUGGAUGGAGCGCUUGGUUGUUAGUUAAUGUUUUUACGGGAUCGAGGCCCGUCAGCCUAG